GUUUUCCUGCAGUUCUUACAUGCUUUAUCAUUUGUACACUCAGCAGCAAUAUGCCCUGGCUUAUAGCAAUUGUUGCAUAGCCUCAAGUCUCCAGGUGACAUCUCGGGAUUUGGGCAAUCUCUGGCACGGUGUCCAGACUUGCCACAUGAAUGACAGAUGCCCUCAUUGGGACAGUUACUAGCAACAUGCCCAGGUUCCCGACAAUUCCAACACCGCAACUGUGUGGUGCAUUCUGAUGCAAUAUGCCCAGGAAGACCACAAUUGUUACAUACAGCUACAUUGGGGCAUUCUCUUGCAAAAUGAC
This 304-nucleotide unclassified non-coding RNA is filed under the name Hevea brasiliensis (rubber tree). Lineage: Eukaryota; Viridiplantae; Streptophyta; Magnoliopsida; Malpighiales; Euphorbiaceae. The record is from RNAcentral.